Molecule: ribosomal RNA, 347 nt
Filed under: uncultured bacterium
Lineage: Bacteria
Description: partial 16S ribosomal RNA
Rfam family: Bacterial small subunit ribosomal RNA
Source: RNAcentral
CCUACGGGAGGCAGCAGUGAGGAAUAUUGGUCAAUGGGCGCUAGCCUGAACCAGCCAAGUAGCGUGAAGGAUGACUGCCCUAUGGGUUGUAAACUUCGUUUAUAGGGGAAUAAAGUGCAGUAGGUAGACUGCUUUGCAUGUACCUUAUGAAUAAGGAUCGGCUAACUCCGUGCCAGCAGCCGAGGUAAUACGGAGGGUCCGCGCGUUAUCCGGAUUUAGUGGGGUUAAAGGGAGCGUAGGCGGGUUGUUAAGUCAGUUUUGAAAGUUUGCGGCUCCACCGUAAAAUGGCAGUUGAUACUGGCAUCCUUGAGUACAUUAGAGGUCGGCGGAAUUCGUGGUGUAGCGGU